AGUGAGGAAUAUUGGUCAAUGGGCGCAAGCCUGAACCAGCCAUCCCGCGUGCAGGAAGACGGCGCUAUGCGUUGUAAACUGCUUUUCCAGGGGGAGAAAUUUCCGUACGUGUACGGAAUUGACGGUACCCUGGGAAUAAGCAUCGGCUAACUCCGUGCCAGCAGCCGCGGUAAUACGGAGGAUGCAAGCGUUAUCCGGAUUCAUUGGGUUUAAAGGGUGCGUAGGCGGACUAUUAAGUCAGUGGUGAAAUCCUGCAGCUUAACUGCAGAACUGCCAUUGAUACUGAUGGUCUUGAGUUUGGUUAAGGUAGGCGGAAUGUGUAAUGUAGCGGUGAAAUGCUUAGAUAUUACACAGAACACCAAUUGCGUAGGCAGCUUACUGAGCCGACACUGACGCUGAGGCACGAAAGCGUGGGGAUCGAACAGGAUUAGAUACCCUGGUAGUCCACGCCGUAAACGAUGAUUACUCGCUGUUGGCGAUACACUGUCAGCGGCUAAGCAAAAGCAAUAAGUAAUCCACCUGGGGAGUACGGCCGCAAGGUUGAAACUCAAAGGAAUUGACGGGGGCCCGCACAAGCGGAGGAACAUGUGGUUUAAUUCGAUGAUACGCGAGGAACCUUACCUGGGCUUAAAUGUAGAGUGCAUUUUCUAGAGAUAGAAAUUCCCUUCGGGGCUUUCUGCAAGGUGCUGCAUGGUUGUCGUCAGCUCGUGCCGUGAGGUGUCGGGUUAAGUCCCAUAACGAGCGCAACCCUUAUCGUUAGUUGCCAGCUGGUAAAGCAGGGGACUCUAGCGAAACUGCCACCGUAAGGUGAGAGGAAGGUGGGGAUGACGUCAAAUCAGCACGGCCCUUAUGUCCAGGGCUACACACGUGUUACAAUGGCCGGUACAGAGGGCAGCUACCUGGUGACAGGAUGCUAAUCUCGAAAACCGGUCUCAGUUCGGAUCGAAGUCUGCAACUCGACUUCGUGAAGCUGGAUUCGCUAGUAAUCGCGCAUCAGCCAUGGCGCGGUGAAUACGUUCCCGGGCCUUGUACACACCGCCCGUCAAGCCAUGGAAGCUGGGGGUGCCUGAAGUCCGUAACCGAAAGGAGCGGCCUAGGGUAAAACUAGUGACUGGGGCU
RNAcentral lists this ribosomal RNA (1119 nucleotides) under uncultured bacterium. RNAcentral describes it as "bacterial SSU rRNA". It matches the Rfam family "Bacterial small subunit ribosomal RNA", at positions 353 to 1482 of the family's 1533-position model. The record is from RNAcentral.